UCUGAUAUGGUGUAACAGUAACAUACGCGCCUCUCAUCCCAUAAGGACUCUAGUGUUUUCGCGUGUGCCUGGGGUUUGAUUCCCUGUAUCGGAA
Mycena galopus ATCC 62051 is the source of this 94-nucleotide non-coding RNA. The record is from the annotation of a GenBank genome assembly. Lineage: Eukaryota; Fungi; Basidiomycota; Agaricomycetes; Agaricales; Mycenaceae.